CCUACGGGGGGCAGCAGUGGGGAAUAUUGCACAAUGGGGGAAACCCUGAUGCAGCGACGCCGCGUGAGUGAAGAAGUAUUUCGGUAUGUAAAGCUCUAUCAGCAGGGAAGAUAAUGACGGUACCUGAGUAAGAAGCCCCGGCUAACUACGUGCCAGCAGCCGCGGUAAUACGUAGGUGACAAGCGUUGUCCGGAUUUACUGGGUGUAAAGGGCGCGUAGGCGGAUGUGCAAGUCAGUCGUGAAAUACCGGGGCUCAACCCCGGGGCUGCGAUUGAAACUGCACACCUUGAGUAUCGGAGAGGAAA
RNAcentral lists this ribosomal RNA (305 nucleotides) under uncultured bacterium. RNAcentral's name for it is "bacterial SSU rRNA". It matches the Rfam family "Bacterial small subunit ribosomal RNA", at positions 338 to 660 of the family's 1533-position model. The record is from RNAcentral.